RNAcentral lists this transfer RNA (48 nucleotides) under Uperoleia micromeles (Tanami toadlet). RNAcentral's name for it is "partial tRNA-Gln". The record is from RNAcentral. Lineage: Eukaryota; Metazoa; Chordata; Amphibia; Anura; Myobatrachidae.
UAGAGAAUAGUAAAAUGGGAUUACGGGAGGCUUUGAUUCUCCAGUUGU